CUCGGACAUAUCAAUUCGCCUAUGGACAGUGCUUGCAGAAAGCGGUACCUGAGCUAUUUUUUUAGCUGCAGCCUCCCCAAAAUUAACUCUUCCCCAAUAGUAAAGGGCUUCUUAGAUUUAGCAAUCCGACUAGCCACUAUGAGGCUUUUAGCGCAGCCACGUUCACCGAUGUGGU
Molecule: long non-coding RNA, 175 nt
Organism: Alosa sapidissima (American shad)
Lineage: Eukaryota; Metazoa; Chordata; Actinopteri; Clupeiformes; Clupeidae
Exons: 2
Source: RefSeq, a predicted model, not a curated record